CCUACGGGAGGCAGCAGUGGGGAAUAUUGCACAAUGGGCGCAAGCCUGAUGCAGCCAUGCCGCGUGUGUGAAGAAGGCCUUCGGGUUGUAAAGCACUUUCAGCGGGGAGGAAGGCGUUAAGGUUAAUAACCUUGGCGAUUGACGUUACCCGCAGAAGAAGCACCGGCUAACUCCGUGCCAGCAGCCGCGGUAAUACGGAGGGUGUAAGCGUUAAUCGGAAUUACUGGGCGUAAAGCGCACGCAGGCGGUCUGUUAAGUCGGAUGUGAAAUCCCCGGGCUCAACCUGGGAACUGCAUUCGAAACUGGCAGGCUAGAGUCGUGUAGAGGGGGGUAGAAUUCCCGGUGUAGCGGUGAAAUGCGUAGAGAUCGGGAGGAAUACCGGUGGCGAAGGCGGCCCCCUGGACAAAGACUGACGCUCAGGUGCGAAAGCGUGGGGAGCAAACAGGAUUAGAUACCCCAGUAGUC
RNAcentral lists this ribosomal RNA (465 nucleotides) under uncultured Klebsiella sp. RNAcentral's name for it is "bacterial SSU rRNA". It matches the Rfam family "Bacterial small subunit ribosomal RNA", at positions 338 to 795 of the family's 1533-position model. Lineage: Bacteria; Pseudomonadati; Pseudomonadota; Gammaproteobacteria; Enterobacterales; Enterobacteriaceae. The record is from RNAcentral.